UACGUAGGGUGCGAGCGUUGUCCGGAAUUAUUGGGCGUAAAGAGCUCGUAGGCGGUCUGUCGCGUCGGUCGUGAAAACCCGCGGCUCAACCGUGGGCUUGCAGCCGAUACGGGCAGGCUAGAGUUCGGUAGGGGAGACUGGAAUUCCUGGUGUAGCGGUGAAAUGCGCAGAUAUCAGGAGGAACACCGAUGGCGAAGGCAGGUCUCUGG
This 209-nucleotide ribosomal RNA is filed under the name uncultured bacterium. RNAcentral describes it as "partial 16S ribosomal RNA". It matches the Rfam family "Bacterial small subunit ribosomal RNA", at positions 524 to 732 of the family's 1533-position model. The record is from RNAcentral.